GCCAGAGCAGGCCACCAGGGCUCACUGGAUCUGCUCGCAGCAACAUUGCAGAGCACACAUCAGCCUAGAAGACGGUGACCGUAAGUGUCCUUCAGCCGACCCACAGAUAGAUCUAUCUGCUCCAGGAAAAGCUGGGUGACAACCAAAAUGGCACCCCCUACAGCCCCAGCAUUGAUUGUCCCCCAGAGUCCUGAAAUCUGUCAGGGCCAUGCAAGGCAACUUUGACAUUCAGAAGCUUGGAAAAGCUGGGUGAAGAGCCCUGCGGGAGCGGUGACGAGGGAUUUCUGGGGAUCACCCAACUCUUCAAGAAUCGAACAAAAGUAAGCAGUGGCUAAAAGGACACAGAACUCAAGGACAGACUUCGUGCCCUAUAUAGAAACGAUGGCAGCAUCACAAGCAAUUGAGGGGGAAAAUGACACUUUUGGAAAAAAGAGAGGAAUUUCUGAAACGAGAUCAGUACUGACGGUGGGUCAGCGGGAAAAGAAGUCACGGAGACAUGCGCUACCUUGGUCCGUGAUGCUGACUAAACACGCUCAUUGAAGUCUAUGGGCCCGUGAAAAUCACAGACAAAACAUGGAUGUUUUUCACUCACCACUGAUAGGAGAUGCUCCGGAAACUUUCAGCUGAGCAAUGUCCGUGGAAUACAGAUGACACACGGAGGGCAAAAAACAGACACGCGGACAUUUUCUGGGAUGUAACAUGGAGUGAUUUUUUCAUGGACACAGAAAUGUUAAGGGGCCUGAUGGUUGUGCAUUCACUGUAGGUUACACCUAGCUCUAGGGAUCCGCAACCUCCAGCUGUUCUGAUACUACAACUCCCAGAAUCCUCCUUUCACUUCUAUGGGAAUUACAAGAACAGAUGAGCAAAUGUGCAUGCUGAGAGUUGUAGUUUCACAGUAGCUGGCGUGCCAAAGGUUGCUGAUCCCUGCAAUAUAACAUAAGUG
Bufo bufo (common toad) is the source of this 943-nucleotide long non-coding RNA. RefSeq lists it as uncharacterized. Lineage: Eukaryota; Metazoa; Chordata; Amphibia; Anura; Bufonidae. The transcript has 3 exons. The record is from RefSeq and is a predicted model, not a curated record.